Molecule: ribosomal RNA, 498 nt
Filed under: uncultured bacterium
Lineage: Bacteria
Description: partial 16S ribosomal RNA
Rfam family: Bacterial small subunit ribosomal RNA
Source: RNAcentral
AUUGAACGCUGGCGGCAUGCCUUACACAUGCAAGUCGAACGGUAACAGGUCUUCGGAUGCUGACGAGUGGCGAACGGGUGAGUAAUACAUCGGAACGUGCCUAGUAGUGGGGGAUAACUACUCGAAAGAGUGGCUAAUACCGCAUGAGAUCUACGGAUGAAAGCAGGGGAUCGCAAGACCUUGUGCUACUAGAGCGGCCGAUGGCAGAUUAGGUAGUUGGUGGGAUAAAAGCUUACCAAGCCGACGAUCUGUAGCUGGUCUGAGAGGCCGAUCAGCCACACUGGGACUGAGACACGGCCCAGGCUCCUACGGGAGGCAGCAGUGGGGAAUUUUGGACAAUGGGCGCAAGCCUGAUCCAGCAAUGCCGCGUGCAGGAUGAAGGCCUUCGGGUUGUAAACUGCUUUUGUACGGAACGAAAAGCCCUGGGUUAAUACCCUGGGGUCAUGACGGUACCGUAAGAAUAAGCACCGGCUAACUACGUGCCAGCCGCCGCAGUAA